CGUCGGCGGGUGGCUUAGUUUAGGGCAGCGGCCCGAGCAGACGGAGCAGCACCGGCUACUUACGCAGCCGACGCCGGUGCGGGGGAGAGGUUUGCCGCCGCUACUACCUCCCUCGUCGAGUGCGACGGUCCGAGGGCUGGCUUGCGCAGCCCAGUAGAGAGGAGUCCCGGUUGGGGAGGAUAAGUAGUGUAGAGAGGGACUGAGGCAGAGGAGGUGCUCUACAUCGUGGUGGGGUGCGGUACCUACGGGAACGGCCGACGUAGAGAGGUACGCGACGGUGAGGAUACUGUGACGGCGGACUGUCAGAGGUGGUCGUGGUGCUGCCCGCACCGGAGACGUGCGCGGCAGUGGAGGGGAGGUCUAGGCCGGCAGCAGCUCCCGUAUAGGUAGGUCGUCACGUGGCAGUGGAGGGGAGGUCUAGGUUGGCAGCAGUUCCCGCAUAGGUAGGUCGUCGCGCGGCAGUAGGGUUAGUAGUGGCAGGUGCCGCAGUAGCGGGUCCGGGUCAGUCCCCGGCCGUUCUGGAGGUACUAGAGGGAGAAGCAGACGGUCCAGUAACUCUGGUUGCAGGUGCUCACUAAAGGCGUAUCGAAAACACAUACUGCCGACCUCCUGGUUGAGUCUGGAGCGAACGGAGUCCCAGUCCUCCAGGUUCCGCGGUGUUCUGGCCCGGUCCUCAAACACAUUUGGACCCGGUCCUCAAAUAAACUAUUUCCAAAGGUCUUACUAACCGGUGCGGAUGGAUUUUUCAAGCCUUAAAUUGGUACUCGGGGAAGACCGGACCAAGGUAUAAGGUUCCGGGAAGGUAUUAGGUUAAGAAACAGGGCUUGGUAGGUAACUUCUUGUAUCUGACAAGUCUUAUAGUCAAACAAUAUAAACGUAGUCUACUUGAUACCCUCGUGAACUUGUUAGUCCUUCGACACCUAUAUCAAGUAACAAGUGGAGCCUUACCGUCGGUCACCACCUCAUUAGUCACCAAAUACUCCAGUACCUCGGGUUCUGGCCUACGUCGUCUUCUUCGUCGCAGCAACGGCACGUGAUUCUUCCGGUUGUCAGACACUCCGCCUUCUAGGUAUCGUAUGUCGCCUACGCAACCUAUACGGUAAGGAGUUACACAUGGACCUAAGAGAAACCCGUGGAUUAAAACCCCGUCCACAAUAAGAUCGUCGGGCGAAGCGAAACCAGAAGUCUAAUUCGUUAAGAGACGUAAGUUCCCUUUCCAGUUAUCGACGAGAGGUUUCGGUUGCGGCCAGACAUAAGUAGACGACGCAGUCCAACCGGUGUUGCUCCUCUGCCUGCGCUGGCGUAGCAGGGUAGCUGGAGGCCCCAGAAACUAUAGAGUCCCACACACAGUACAAUACAACCCAAAGGACACUAAAGCCACGCCCAUCGAUGUAUCGCAGGCACCCGGUACGCACACUGUACGUACGAUCCAUUAGAACUGAGGCCACGCUGCCACGACCUUGGCGGAGGCGACCAAUGCUGGCGACACCGAUACGAACUUCCGUCUUAGUCGUGCUACUGACAUCACCGACGUGAGUCUAGUCCCGUCGGUGCCCUAUACUAGUUCGGAAAUGACAGCAGGAGACUUAAACCCUAGUGCACGUAGCCGUUCUCUUUAUCGUACUCUCGGAUUCUCCCAUCAUGGUGCAAUGCUUGUUCAACUAAAAAUAGGUACCUUAACUAGACUACGCUUCGACUACGGUGUAUUUUCCUGGUUCCUUACUUGUGCUUCGUUUAAUAUUGAGAGUCCAAGUACCAAAUCCUCGUCCUUUCUUGUGAAGGUUAACACAUCUACCCAGUAGUCAUCGUAAAGAGAUUAAUAGGAAUAUCUCUGACUAAACCUAACAACUUCCUUUCCUAGAGUUAAGAGUUAUCGUUUGACGUGACCCUGUAGAACCUGUGUAAAGACUCGAUCUAUACAACCACUCGCCCGUCCGCCGCGAUCUGUACCGUCCCGUUCUCUCGUGCUCCCUCUUACAGUUUCCCCCGUUGUAUUUACUCUCAAGUGGCAAUACGAGUACACCAGUCUUGGAUCUCGUACCUAUGUUCUGGAGGUAGAAGAUACCUGUAGUCUCGUCUCCUCUUCACUACUACCUGUAGUCUGGUCACUUCUGUCACUCGUACACGAGGAUCUGCUAUGAAUAGUAUAGUAUAAGAGUCACACAUCAGUUUUUGACAUACGGUG
This 2185-nucleotide ribosomal RNA is filed under the name Triticum aestivum (bread wheat). RNAcentral's name for it is "partial small subunit ribosomal RNA". Lineage: Eukaryota; Viridiplantae; Streptophyta; Magnoliopsida; Poales; Poaceae. The record is from RNAcentral.